RNAcentral lists this transfer RNA (58 nucleotides) under Camponotus floridanus (Florida carpenter ant). It matches the Rfam family "tRNA", at positions 8 to 63 of the family's 71-position model. Rfam says of the family: Transfer RNA (tRNA) molecules are approximately 80 nucleotides in length. Their secondary structure includes four short double-helical elements and three loops (D, anti-codon, and T loops). The record is from Rfam by way of RNAcentral. Lineage: Eukaryota; Metazoa; Arthropoda; Insecta; Hymenoptera; Formicidae.
UGGCACAGUAGGCAGCGCAUUAGCCUACAAAGCUAAAAGUCCCGGAUUCGAUUCCCGG